UACGGGGGGGGCAAGCGUUGUUCGGAAUUACUGGGCGUAAAGGGUUCGUAGGUGGCCAACUAAGUCAGACGUGAAAUCCCUCGGCUUAACCGGGGAACUGCAUCUGAUACUGGAUGGCUUGAGUUCGGGAGAGGGAUGCGGAAUUCCGGGUGUAGCGGUGAAAUGCGCAGAUAUCCGGAGGAACACCGGUGGCGAAGGCGGCUUCCUGGACCGACACUGACGCUGAGGCGCGAAAGCUAGGGGAGCAAACGGG
RNAcentral lists this ribosomal RNA (253 nucleotides) under uncultured bacterium. RNAcentral describes it as "partial 16S ribosomal RNA". It matches the Rfam family "Bacterial small subunit ribosomal RNA", at positions 524 to 776 of the family's 1533-position model. The record is from RNAcentral.